CUUUCAUCUCCCAGUGGUUACAAAACUCUCACCGUAAUGGAAUUUCUGUGGACAUAUUUGUCCCUGGGAUACUGAGCAGCUGGAGGCUGGAAAGCUCUUUCACUUUUGGAUCCCUAGGGAACCUCACCCGGUGUGCAGCCAAUGACACACGUAUGGGUACGUUUAUGGGACAGAGUAAAGGGAGAUCCAAUUUGCUUCUGCAAAGUACUGCUGCCUUCCACAGCCUCUCGAGGUUAGGAAGUCAAGUCCAACCCAAGAGAAGAGACAUCUUGAUGCCUGAGCUCACAGGCUUGUGUUUGAUGAUGCAAAACUGCAAGGCAGAACCAAGAAACACCCUCGGGAAAACAAAACCCUGUGGGUCCUGUGGAUUGAAUCAAAAGUUUCCCAAGUGGUGGAAGGAACUGGCUUGAAGUCGUAUGCCUGGGGAUCUCCCUGCGGCUCCCACUCCAUCACCUGCCAGCAGAGAGAAGACACCAGAUAUGCUCUUAAAAGAGAUGUCACUAACACGACACAGCACAGUUUCACAUUCCUACUCUCCCCUUGAAUGUGUCACCCGUCAGAUACUACUGCAUGCAAAACACACAGUCCACAAGGCAGGUGACGUCACUGUCUCCACUGUACGUAUGUGGGAAUAAAGGUGGAACCAGGUUAAAUACUA
Mus musculus (house mouse) is the source of this 658-nucleotide long non-coding RNA. RefSeq annotates it as predicted gene, 36333. The transcript has 2 exons. Lineage: Eukaryota; Metazoa; Chordata; Mammalia; Rodentia; Muridae. The record is from RefSeq and is a predicted model, not a curated record.